CGAUAUUACGCGCUCGCUGCACCGUCGUGUCCCGCUUACAAAAUAAUAUUACAUUAAUUGUUGGCUGCGGGAUGCGGCCAUGUGGUCACUCCGAUCGAUUACUGAGCCAUAGACGCGAACGACGAAUUGUUCUGGUCGUCUACAGGCCUUACUUUAACGGGUAGUAAACACCCGAAUCGGUCAGCUGAAGUACUAACUUAAUGGGCAUAAAACUAUGACUAUCAGAAGUCGCGGACAAACGUUUCUUAAGGCGGACGCGAACAAAGUCGUUUCGCCAACAGAACAAUAUUAUACGAGUGUAUCACGGAUAGAAAACAAGCUCACCCAACUACAAUAAUAAUUAUAAAUAAAAAAACCAGGUAUACCAUCAGUGGCGGCAACUAUAAGUUGGUAAAAUUAUUUACAUUUUACUGCCGACGCAAACAAACGAGUGAAAUCCGACAGUGUGCCGACCGUUCGCCGAAACCAUUAAAAAACGAAGGAACAAUAGUUAUAUACGAUGGCGGGUGCCGACGAGGGAUUUGGUUAUUAAAAUACUUUCUUUCGUUGCCGUUGUGUCACAACGGUUGUGAGUUGUGACGUUGUGUGCAAUAUUAUUGUACAACUACUGUAUUUGAGUAGUGUUUGGAGGAGUUUUUACAACUCUAGAUGGGAUUUACACGCAGUUUGUAAUAAUUAGACACAGAUACGUUUAAAUUAUAGGUGUGUUUCGUUUAUCUGCUGGUUUAUCACGAGCAUAUGAUUACAUGAUUUGUAUUAUCUGAUAAUGUCUUGCAAAAGUAAAGUGCCUUCCUCACGAAACAAACAAGUCUUCCACGGAUAUAAUAACUAAUAAUUCAAAAACGUAACCUAAAAUUUAAAAUACUUUUAAAAUUGUAUAGAUGACGCGUUUGUCAAUGUCGAGUUGUUAAAUAACGGUUGAGAUACCGUCGAAUGUUGAUCGUUAUAUAACUUAUAAACUAUGUAUGGGUAUUCAUUUUUUUCUCUCAAUAUUUGUAUU
Long non-coding RNA from Rhopalosiphum padi (bird cherry-oat aphid), 1000 nucleotides. RefSeq lists it as uncharacterized. The transcript is spliced from 3 exons. The record is from RefSeq and is a predicted model, not a curated record. Lineage: Eukaryota; Metazoa; Arthropoda; Insecta; Hemiptera; Aphididae.